GACAUACAAGUAGUAGGAAGGAAACUGACCGACCCUUCGGGAGCUUGAACAGGUGCUGCAUGGCUGUCGUCAGCUCGUGUCGUGGGAUGUUCGGUUAAGUCCGCUAACGAGCGCAACCCUCGCUGUGUGUUACAAGUGUCACACGGAACUGCCGGUCAUAAACCGGAGGAAGGUGGGGAUGACGUCAAGUCAGCAUGGCCUUUAUAUCCUGGGCUACACACACGCUACAAUGGGAAAGGGACAAUAGGUUGCGAAGCCGCGAGGCGGAGCCAAUCCAGCAAAACUUCCCUCAGUUCAGAUUGCAGGCUGCAACUCGCCUGCAUGAAGUUGGAGUUGCUAGUAAACGCAGGUCAGCCAUACUGCGUUGAAUACGUUCCCGGGGCUU
Molecule: ribosomal RNA, 385 nt
Filed under: uncultured Anaerolineaceae bacterium
Lineage: Bacteria; Bacillati; Chloroflexota; Anaerolineae; Anaerolineales; Anaerolineaceae
Description: bacterial SSU rRNA
Rfam family: Bacterial small subunit ribosomal RNA
Source: RNAcentral